Molecule: ribosomal RNA, 253 nt
Filed under: uncultured bacterium
Lineage: Bacteria
Description: partial 16S ribosomal RNA
Rfam family: Bacterial small subunit ribosomal RNA
Source: RNAcentral
UACGUAGGGUGCAAGCGUUGUCCGGAAUUAUUGGGCGUAAAGAGCUCGUAGGCGGUCUGUCACGUCGGCUGUGAAAACCUGGGGCUCAACCUCGGGCCUGCAGUGGGUACGGGCAGACUAGAGUGCGGUAGGGGAGAUUGGAAUUCCUGGUGUAGCGGUGGAAUGCGCAGAUAUCAGGAGGAACACCAAUGGCGAAGGCAGAUCUCUGGGCCGUAACUGACGCUGAGGAGCGAAAGCAUGGGGAGCGAACAGG